This is a long non-coding RNA of Tachysurus fulvidraco (yellow catfish), 2739 nucleotides long. RefSeq lists it as uncharacterized. The transcript has 2 exons. The record is from RefSeq and is a predicted model, not a curated record. Lineage: Eukaryota; Metazoa; Chordata; Actinopteri; Siluriformes; Bagridae.
AACACAUUAAUUGAUUAACACUGUCAAUUAGUUUAUCGUACGUUAAAAUACUUUUUAUUUUGAAAGUAUAUUGCUCACUGCGUUUGAAUACACAUAGAUAGACUGUAAUAAUACAACCGAAUACAACACAAACUGUGGGUCACAGGAGAGGUGGGAUGUUUAUCAGUAGGCUACUGGCUGCUUGGGAUGAGCGUCAUCAAACCUUUAAACCUCUUCCACACAGUGGAGUUGAUAGAACUAAAGCUAUUUGUAACCACUGCAAAGCUGAAUUGUCUUAUCAUCGGAGUACUUCGAGUUUGAAGUAUCACUUAAAUGCAAUGCACACCGUUGAUGCCAGCAAAUAAAAAAAAAUGCCCAAACAAACAGUGGAGGAAGGCUUCGGCAGACUACAUAGGAUGCAGCAUCUGGGAGAACUAUAGAUAAACAAAAGAAAGGCAAGCUAACAAAUGCCAUUGCGAAGUGGGUAGCUACAAACUGCAGGCCGAUUAGUAUUGUGGAAGAUGUCGGUCUGAAGAAUGUUAUUAGGAUCGCAACGAAUGACUGCACGUAUGAGCCUCUGCCUAGACGAACCAUCGCGCAUUACAACAUGCACCAACUGUUGCCCUCACCGGAGACUACUGGACAUCGCUGGGUAACCAUAAUUACCUCGGAGUUACUGUGCAUUACAUUGAUGAACAAUGGGAACUGCAUUCACAUGCUCUGACUGUAAUGAAGACACAAGAGAGACAUUUUGCUGAAACGUGCGCUGAACAUUUUAUUCAUGUUGCACAGCAGUGGGACGUUUCAAAUAAAGUCAGCACACUUAGCACAGAUAGUGCAAGAAAUAUGAUCGCUGCUGUGAUACAUCUGCCUUUUAAACACGUCCCCUGAGUCGCGCACAGUCUCCAGCGUUCUGUCACAGUAUCUCUGCACAACAGCGCGUUUGAUAACGUCCUGGCCAAAUACAGAAAGGUUGUGGGCCAUUUUAAGCACAGUCCAGUGAGUGCUGCAGAAUUAGAACAAAAACAAAUUGAACUUGGACAAAAGAAGGAGUCGCUUAUACAAGACAUUCCAACCAGAUGGAAUUCGACUCUGGACAUAAUAAAAAGUGUCCGCAGAAACGAACACACACUGAGGGAUGUCCUCACCACACACAACACGAAGAUUGCCAUGCCAACAACAGCUGGACAAACUGCAGAGGUUGGAAAUGCUACUGGAGCCCUGCAGGUAUGUGACUGAACUUCUGGGUGGAGAAAAAUAUGUUUCAUGCUCUGUGGUUCUGCCUGCUUUUUGCCAUCUCUCUCGGGAUGAUGACCCUGCCUAUGUGGCCUAUGUGGUCAAUUUCAAGUCUACCUUCAGAACAGACCUGGAGACACGCAAGGAAAAUGCCAAUAUUGCAUUUCUGAAGAUUGCAACUGCAUUGGGCCCUGAGAUUCAAGGACCUCAAGUGUAUACCCAGAGCUGAGAGAGGUGAGGUGUGGGCCUCAGUCACUAACUUAGUCACUAACACAGGGUUGUUGCAGAGGAACCUGUGGAAGCAACAACAUCAAAGCCAUCAAAGAGAAAGUUUGCCCUAUUGGCUGCUUCAUCAGAAUCUGAUACUGAACACGACCUUCAGUUCAGUCAGGACCACCUCGUAAAUGAAGGUUAGCGAGCAUACAGUUACUGUUGGCGGAAUGGUUCUGUUCUGGGAGAAUUUUCCCAGGGAGGCAGCGCUGGGGAAUGAAUAGACCCCCCCAUUACAGCUCAGAAUCAGAACCAAAAUUGCGCGAGGUGUGAAUUUUUUCUACGUGAAGAAUUUAAUUGCCGCUGGUAACAGGUUCUGGCUGGAGGAGUCGGGGACGGAGGAGGGUGUUGGAAUCGCAGCAGUGGUGAUGCACAGGUGCGCUCGAAGGCGAGGAUUUAAAGGAGGGAAAUUACAAAAGUCGUGCUGGAUUGGUGCGCCUUGUGGACAGCUGAUUAGCAGCUGAUGCAGCUUACUGCGUGGCCUGCCUGAAAUAACGCGAUGCUUGAUUCUAGUUUGUUAUCUCUUUUCUGCCCUUUGGUGUUUUUUUUUGUACUUGUCAUGUGUUUCAGGAAGGCAGUUCCAGAGUAAAUAGGAGAAAGGCUCCCAUUGGUUGUGAUCUCCACCUGUUCCACAUAAAACGACGGCCUGGAUCCCUGAUUUAGGAAAAGCUGCUUUUGUUUGGGCCUGCUUUUGUUUUUGCUGCUUUGCUCUUUGUUGUUUUGCUCUUUGUCUUUCGUGCAAUUGUGUUUGCUUUGUUUGUGUUGCUUUGUGUAUUUGUAUGUUAUAUUCCUUGAAUGUUUACCCAUUUCAGUAAUUUGUGAUUGUCUCGUCUUAGAUAGGAAGUUUGUGUUCCUAGUGUGUUGCGCCUUUGAGUUUUGUUUUGUCUUGGUUUACUGUAUGUUUGUUGUUUCAUCUGAUUGAUUGAUUUGUUUGUGCUUGACCCAUGCCUGAUAUACGACUACGAUUAUGGGCUCUGUUUUUGACUAGUUAGCCACUAGAUUUAAUUAUACACCUUUGCCUAUAACAUAUUGACAAGGUAUGUAUGGGGAGCGACGCCAUUUAUUUUGGAAACUUUUAUUAUAUUGUUUUUCUGAGAGGGAGUUAGGGAAGAAGUAUGUAUUUUAUUUUCUUUCAUUUUUUUUAGUUAGUAAGAGGUGUUUGGUGACGUUUGUUCUGUUAAUUAUUUUUGCCUUGUCCUCCCCUGAAGCCUAAAACCCCUUGUCAACACUUCAAUAAAAGAUUGUGAAUUAUAA